RNAcentral lists this unclassified non-coding RNA (107 nucleotides) under soil metagenome. Its description in RNAcentral is "partial internal transcribed spacer 1". The record is from RNAcentral.
UCAAUGAAUAUCUUCAUUACACCGUGCACUGGACUUUGGGCAGAAAUGCCCUAAGUAACACACAACCCUAUACAUUAUAGCAGAGUCAAUUAGGAAACUAAUAAUGA